UACGGAGGAUCCAAGCGUUAUCCGGAUUUAUUGGGUUUAAAGGGUGCGUAGGCGGUACGGUAAGUUAGAGGUGAAAACCCGUGGCUCAACCACGGACGUGCCUCUGAUACUGCCGUGCUAGAGAGUAGAUGCGGUAGGCGGAAUGUGUGGUGUAGCGGUGAAAUGCUUAGAGAUCACACAGAACACCGAUUGCGAAGGCAGCUUACCAAUCUAUAUCUGACGUUGAGGCACGAAAGCGUGGGUAGCAAACAGGAUUAGAUACCCUGGUAGUCCACGCAGUAAACGAUGAUAGCUCGUUGUCGGCGAUACACAGUCGGUGACUUAGCGAAAGCGUUAAGCUAUCCACCUGGGGAGUACGUUCGCAAGAAUGAAACUCAAAGGAAUUGACGGGGGCCCGCACAAGCGGAGGAACAUGUGGUUUAAUUCGAUGAUACGCGAGGAACCUUACCCGGGCUUGAAAGUUAGUGACGGUGGUCGAAAGAUCACUUCCCUUCGGGGCACGAAACUAGGUGCUGCAUGGUUGUCGUCAGCUCGUGCCGUGAGGUGUCGGAUUAAGUUCCAUAACGAGCGCAACCCUUGCCGUUAGUUGCCAUCAGGUUAUGCUGGGCACUCUAACGGGACUGCCGGUGUAAGCCGAGAGGAAGGUGGGGAUGACGUCAAAUCAGCACGGCCCUUACGUCCGGGGCGACACACGUGUUACAAUGGUCGGUACAGAGGGCAGCUACCCAGCGAUGGGAUGCGAAUCUCGAAAGCCGAUCUCAGUUCGGAUCGGAGGCUGAAACUCGCCUCCGUGAAGUUGGAUUCGCUAGUAAUCGCGCAUCAGCCAUGGCGCGGUGAAUACGUUCCCGGGCCUU
RNAcentral lists this ribosomal RNA (854 nucleotides) under uncultured bacterium Of10. Its description in RNAcentral is "SSU rRNA". It matches the Rfam family "Bacterial small subunit ribosomal RNA", at positions 524 to 1382 of the family's 1533-position model. The record is from RNAcentral. Lineage: Bacteria; Pseudomonadati; Bacteroidota; Bacteroidia; Bacteroidales; Bacteroidaceae.